This 497-nucleotide ribosomal RNA is filed under the name uncultured bacterium. RNAcentral describes it as "partial 16S ribosomal RNA". It matches the Rfam family "Bacterial small subunit ribosomal RNA", at positions 28 to 507 of the family's 1533-position model. The record is from RNAcentral.
GAUGAACGCUGGCGGCGUGCCUAAUACAUGCAAGUCGUGCGCACGGACGUGAAGCUAGCUCCUCUGAAGUUAGCGGGGGACGGGAGAGUAACACGUGGAUAACCUACCUAUAAGACUGGGAUAACUUCGGGAAACCGGAGCUCAGACCGGAUGAUAUUUUGAACUGCAUGGCUCAAAAGUAAAAGACGGUCUUGCUGUCACUUAUAGAUGGAUCAGCGCUGCAUUCGCUAGUUGGUAAGGUACCGGCUUACCAAGGCAACGAUGCAUAGACACCAUGAGAAUGUUAUCUGCCAGGCCGGAGCGGAGACACGGUCCCGACUCCUAUGAGAGGCAGCAGUUAGGAAUCCUCGACGCUGGGGGGAAGCAUGACGGAGCAACGCCGCAUGAGUGAUGAAGGUCUUCUGUGCGUAAGACGCAGUUAUUAGGGAAGAACAGAUGUGUCAGUAGCUGAGCAAAUCAUGACGGUACCUGAACAGAAAGCCACGGCUAACUACGUG